RNAcentral lists this ribosomal RNA (543 nucleotides) under uncultured bacterium. Its description in RNAcentral is "bacterial SSU rRNA". It matches the Rfam family "Bacterial small subunit ribosomal RNA", at positions 772 to 1319 of the family's 1533-position model. The record is from RNAcentral.
ACUAAAUAGAUACCCUGGUAGUCCACGCCCUAAACGAUGUCUACUAGUUGUCGGGGAUUCAUUUCCUUGGUAAACGCAGCUAAACGCGUGAAGUAGACCGCCUGGGGAGUACGGCCGCAAGGUUAAAACUCAAAGGAAUUGACGGGGACCCGCACAAGCGGUGGAUGAUGUGGAUUAAUUCGAUGCAACGCGAAAACCUUACCUACGCUUGACAUGCCAGGAACUUUCCAGAGAUGGAUUGGUGCCCGAAAGGGAACCUGGACACAGGUGCUGCAUGGCUGUCGUCAGCUCGUGUCGUGAGAUGUUGGGUUAAGUCCCGCAACGAGCGCAACCCUUAUCCUUAGUUGCUACGCAAGGGCACUCUAGGGAGACUGCCGGUGACAAACCGGAGGAAGGUGGGGAUGACGUCAAGUCCUCAUGGCCCUUAUGUGUAGGGCUUCACACGUCAUACAAUGGUCGGUACAGAGGGUCGCAACCCGCGAGGGGGUAGCCAAUCCCAGAAAACCCGAUCGUAGUCCGGAUUGCAGUCUGCAACUCGACUGC